This 1362-nucleotide long non-coding RNA is filed under the name Cyanistes caeruleus (blue tit). RNAcentral's name for it is "lncRNA (ENSCCEG00000007101.1)". Lineage: Eukaryota; Metazoa; Chordata; Aves; Passeriformes; Paridae. The record is from RNAcentral.
GCUGCUGGAUGGGGGGGAGCCCGCUCCGGGCGGCGCCCCGGCACCCCGAGCCGGAACCCCGGGCCUCUGGAGGCUCCCGGCACCCAGGGAUGCCCCGGACAAGGGCAGCAGGUCCUGGCGCUCUGCCUCCCUCCAUGAGAGACCCUCCCUGGAUGAAGAGGCCCGAGCCCCGCUGCGGGACCGGGGGCGUCCCUCCGUGUCCCCCCCCAGGGCGGGGAGCUGGGAGAGGCUCUCGCUGGCCGAGCGGGUGGAGAGGAACCGGCGGCUGCUGCAGGAGGUGCUGGGCCUUGCCGCACCCGGUGUGUACUUUGGGAAGGUGGUGGCUCUUUCAGGACAACGCGGGGAACUGGGAGGGAAAACCUUUGGGAUGAUGGGAGUCCUCCGGACCAGCCUCCAGCCUCCCUGCUGCCUCACACCCCAGGGCUGUCCCACCCCCUUCAGCGGGAUGUAGGAGAUGCUCGGGAGAUGCUCUGGGUGAUACCAGUCAGUCCCGUCUGGUGUCGUGGUGAGGAAUUUCACUGCUAAAAGCAGGAAACUCAAUUUCUGGGACACGCCAGGUCUGGGGGCAUCACUGUCCCUUUGCAAGCUGCCACCAGAAAAGAGAGUUAAUUUCUCCUUUGAUAGCAUCUGCCCCAGUGACCCCAUGGCCUCAGUCCCACACCUGCAGCCAGGUGCUGUUCCGCCCCUUUGGGCUCUCCCAGAGCCAGACAUCUGGGAGAGCCCUGUGGAGGGUGUUGGGAUGGGAUAUAUGGGAGGUGCUAUCAAGAGGAUGGGGGCUGCCAUCCAACCAGGCUAAUGCCUUUCCCUGUCCUGCAUUUCAGAGAUGCCAGCGAGCGACGGGGACUGGGACUCAGGGGUUUCGCUGCAGGACGCUGAGGGCUGCAGGGCCUUUGUCGCCGGGCAGGAGCUGGAGCUGAGCCCGCGGCACGAGCAGGCCAAGCAGCUGCUGCAGCGCGCCCGCAUGAAGGCUCGGACGAACCCCCUGCGCGCCAGCCACGACAUCCUCCUCCUCCCCAGCGCCGUCCCGCAGCCCAGGUCAGUGUCUCCUUCCUGCCCCCGCCGCCUUGCCAGCCCUGCAGGCUUUGGGGCACGGACGCGGCGUGCAGGGUGUGCUGGGAGCCGGGAUCCGACCCCGCUGCGCGCACGGUGCGGCCUCGGAGCGCGGAUGCGCCCGAGCUCUUCGCGGCGGGGCUCGGGGGGCGCUUGGUUGUGUUUUGUGAUCGCACGGAAGCGUCGGGGGUGGGAGGAUGGCGUUUCCCAGCUCAUGGGGAAUGUUUUCCCGGGUGAGACUCGCUGCUGGGGGCUGGACCACAGCGGCGCCUGGCCGUGUGUGCCAGGUCAUGCGCGAUGUGGCGUUCCCGG